Long non-coding RNA from Prionailurus viverrinus (fishing cat), 2446 nucleotides. RefSeq lists it as uncharacterized. The record is from RefSeq and is a predicted model, not a curated record. The transcript has 4 exons. NCBI's taxonomy places the organism in Eukaryota, Metazoa, Chordata, Mammalia, Carnivora, Felidae.
AGGGCUCCGGCAUUUCCGGAUUGAAAGGGUGCCGAGCCUAAGUCGCGUUGUCCCCCCUCGUUGGCCGCUGGAGCGCUGGAAUUUCCAAACUGAAGCAACGAGGGGCGCGGCGGUCGGGCGAGCUCAGGGGGGGCUGCUCCCGGUGCGACAGGUUCGGUCCCCGGGCCGGGCUCACCGCGGUGCUGCGGUUCCGCUGCUCUAAGCGCUCUACGGAAUACCGCCAACUACCCUGGACGGUAGGGACUGUUAUUGUGCCCAUUCCACAGAGGGGUAAACCGAGCCUCCGAGCGGCGAGGAGGUUCGAACUCGUCUGACUCUCCAGCGCAUGCAGGCCUCUUUAACCGAGUGGACGAUCCUUCUUUAGGGUGGGGACCCAGGAAUCUCUUCGGGGAACUCUCUAUCAAGGGUGCCCCUCCCCCAGGGGGCAAGCCCUUGCUCAGCUGACAGAUUUCCCAAGAAGCGGCAGGAGCAAGCCUGGGCGCAUGCAAGGCUCAGCGAAACCAUGGGGUGAGGACUCGAGGCGUCAUCACGUCCGGGGCCCUGCAUCGCCCCCCCCCCCCCCCAGCCAAUGCCGCGUCCGCCCCCGCGGCCGCGCUUCUCCUUUCGGCCUCCGCAGCGGGGGCGUCUUUACAGCCUCCAGAAAAAGGAAGGAAGCCUUGUGGUCCUGACGCGCCGAGGUCCCCGCUGCCGUCCCCAGGCCCCUCGGGGAAACUGAGGUAGCACACCUUGAAUGGAGAGGGGGCGCUCGGACCCUUCCUUUCCACAGGGAAACAACUACGCCCCGAAGUGGGGCGAGGAGAGGAGGCGGUCAAACUCCAAGCGCUGCACCUGGCUCUUGAAACUUGAACUCUGGGCGCCAGCGGCCCUGCGGUGUUCAGUGGGUGCCUGCAGUGAUAGGAAUCCUUCCAAGAGCUGGCGACAGGGCAGUGAUGAGGAAAGACAAACAUUUCGUCAUUGUGCAGAGAUGGUUCCAACGUGGGGGGACCGAUAAGAAACAAAAAUAAAAUGUAUGGGUGAGGUGGGAGCCAUGGAGGAGGGACAGCCCCAGCUCCAGUGUUGACAGGCACCCUCCUGAGACAGCAGGAGCUAUGUCCCAGGGCCAGGGAGGACAGGAGGCCAGAGAGGAGGUGACUACUCUAGUCGAGGUGGGUAAUAAUGGGCCCUUGCUCUGGGCAGUGCCAUCGGAGAAGUGAUCUGACAUUCGUUUUGGUGGGAAGGUCACCUGUGCUUGCUGGGACAUGAGGACAGAGCGGAGUUAAGAAUGACUUCUUGGUUCUGGCCUGGUCCCCUGGGAAGACAGAGAGCCAUUUCCUGAAAUGAAGAUGGGGUGGUAAUGGGGGCCAGGGUAGCGAGAGGAGGGUCCGCCUCCUGGUCUCACAUUUCCUUUGUGUUCCCUCUAGGAAAAGGAAAGCGGAGGCUCCCCAGCCCUUCGCUGGAGUUGCCAGGAAGGGCAAGGCUUCCUCCCGGGUGCCAGGCAGUCUUGGGCAGUCCAGUGAGUGGACCCACUACAGACUAGAGGCCGCGGACUCAUGUCCCGCUUUGUGGCCUGGCCCCUGCUCUCCCUUCACUCUGAGCUGUGGCGUGGCCACCCCGCCCUUCCUGGCAGCUUCAGUGAAUUUCUUUUGUCCCCGAGCAUUCUGAACAUGCUGUUCCUCUAGCCCAGACUUUCCUUCCCACCGCUUUUACAGGAGGUUCUCAGAGCAUUUCAUCCACAAGGUUGUGCCAGAAGGAGGAGCAGAUUGGGGUUUGGAUCCAGGCUCUGACAACUUAGCGGCUGUUUUAGUGGACGUUCUCCCCAAAAGCAGCCCCUGGAACCAAGCUUGGUGUUCUGGCAGUUUAUACCUGGGAUGGGGGUUUGGGGGGGAGUCGGGGAAGGCAACCAGGAAAGCUGUGGGUUCGUAUGGAGACCUCCUUUGGGGGCCACUGUGGUUCAGUCUCACUGAGGAACCCCUUGGAGAUGGGCGGACUUUUUACGCCAAUCCUGUGCCUCGCUGGGUCGAAGCUCCUCCGGGAAUGUCAACUCCCUAAUACUUCAUUACUCCAUAUGUACAUUUCUAUUCAUUUAUUUAAACAGUUUUGGUCACCGGGCUGUCCAUCGCAUCCCAGGACCUAUUUACCUUGUAACCGGAAGUUUGUACCCUUUGACCCGCUUCACCCAUUCCCCCCACCCCCUGCCUCUGGCAACCACCAGUCUGUUCUGUAGGUAAAUUCAGGGGUUUCUUUUGUUUUGCUUUAAAGUUGAUUUAUUUAUUUUGAGAGAGAGGGCGGGGCAUAGAGAAAGAAUUCCAGGCAGGCUCCACACUGAGAACAGAGCCCGAUGCAGGAUCACACAAAGCACGAGAUCCUGACCAGAGCUGAAAUGGGACGCUUAACCAGCUGAGCCACACAGAGAGAGAGAGUGUGAGCUGGGGAAGGGGCAAGAGAGAGGGAGACACAGAAUCCGAAG